AGGCAGGCCAAUCACUUGGGGCCAGGAGUUCGAGACCACCCUGGCCAAAUAGCGAAUCCCUGUCCCUACUCAAAAAUACAAUUAAUUGGGUGAGGGCGGGUGUGGUGGCUCACGCCUGUAAUCCCAGCGCUUUGGGAGGCCGAGGCGGGCAGAUCACGAGGUCAGGAGAUUGAGACCAUCCUGGCUAACAAGGUGAAACCCUAUCUCUACUAAAAAAUACAAAAAUUAGCGGGGCGUGGUGGCGGGCGCCUGUCGUCCCAGCUAUUUGGGAGGCUGAGGCAGGAGAAUGGCGUGAACCUGGGAGGCGGAGCUUGCAGUGAGCCGAGACGGCGCCACUGCACUCCAGCCUGGGUGACAGAGCGAGACUCUGUCUCAAAAAAAAAAAAAAAAAAAAAAAAAUUAGUUGGGUGUGGUGGCACUUGCCUGUAAUCCUAGCUUCUUGGGAGGCUGAGGCACGAGAAUCACUUGAACCCGGGGCAGAGGUUGCAGUGAGCCAAGAUAGCACCACUGCACUCCAGCCUGGGUGACAGAGCGAGACGCUGUCUCAAAAAAAAAAAAAAAAAAAAAAAAAAAAAAAAGGAUGGGGUAAAGGGCACCCUGCACAACUGCUAUGCAUCUCAAUAGUAAAGGCAAAAGGGAAUUAAUGCAUAUCACAGUUAUCUACAAUACUUGACUCUGCUUUUCUGGAAUUUAUAAACAAACAUUCAAUUAGAAUUCUGGGUCAUGCUGUAAUUCCAACUAGCCUUUGUCAGUUACAUAGGUGCCGUUUUACAUUUCCAUAUUUUACCCCAGAGGAUUUAUUUUUCACUUCUAAUAGAGAUGCAUCAAGUUUGUGUUGGGGAUCAGGAAUUAGCCGAGCGACGCAGAUGGCCUUCAUAAACCCCUGCUGCCACCUUGUGGUGUUGCUGAGGAGCGACAGAAGUCCAUCACUUCUGUUUAAAAACAAAACAAAUCACCAAUCACCUAAUCCUGGCCACCCCGUGCAAUACAUUUAAGGCUCAAAACUUCAAAAACAACCCGUCCUCUCCUGUUUUCCAUUCUGCUUUUGCCCUUCCCCCGACUGAUACUUGUUGGAUGACCUCACCUGAUUUCUAUAUAGAAAAUUGUGUCCAGCUGGUGUUAGUUCCCUCCAGCCCGCUCAUCUCCACUUGAAUGUGAUCCUGGGAACGCGUGUUUUCCUCUGAUACUUCCUUCUGAUUGUGAGGAAAGGGACCCCCAUCUCAUCUUCUCUCUGCAGCUCAUUUCCAGGAAAGUUUGGCCCUCACACCUCCCCCUAGGAGGGGAGCACGCCCACCCUAAGGCAACAAAUGCUGAAUGUUCCAGACCUGGCCCCAGCUCAUUUUCCAAGUUCUUCAAUUUCAGGAAAAUAAUUUGAGACUCUUCUCUACCUUUGAAGGACAUUGGUAGGGUUCUUUCCUGGGAUUUGUGAGUUUAUCUUUUAUACAAUCUUGACCCUUUGAUUUUUGUCUUACAUUUUCUUGAUUUCCCAAUAUGGGGUCUAUUUUAAGUGGCUCUGGAAGUUUGGAUGUUCAGGCUCUUGCAAAUAAUUUGAUUGAAUGGACUGAAACACUCGAGUUUCCCUGAAUACCUGAAACUUCUUAACUCUCUAAACUGAGUACUUUGGCUAUGCAGUCUCAGAGUCCAAGGUCCGGCUCUUGUUUUUCUGUUCUUCGCAAGACCUAGAUAAAGUGCGUAGGAGAGAAGUACUAGUUGCCACCCGAUCUGGGUCCCAACUUGCUGGAGGGCCCUGGAGAAGCUGUUCGUGUAAAAGCCAAACCAUCGAUUCCCUUAAUGACACAUUUUUCUAAAAUUUACAGUUGUAUGAUCUAGUUCACAUAUGACAUAAGAUUCCCACAGGCACUUAACCUAGGGAGUGAAGUGUAAGUGUGCUUCCUUGAGUAGGCACCUUGUUCAAUGCACAACCCAUGCUUUUGGAGAUUUUGGGUAACUUUUGAUCAUAUCAAUGACUAUUUUUUAGCCAAUCCUUCUAAGGGUACUUCAACUUUUGUCUCUAGUACACAUUUAACAAAUUCCUAGAAUUUAUAUCCAAUAUGUCAGAUAUAUCUCUUUGAAGUGUCUUACUUCCACUUUGCUGCCUAAAAAUUGAUUUUAUAGAACUUGCUACACCUUAGAAAACUAUUAAGCAAGUCGUGGCAUACAGAGGGUUUAUACCAAAUUAAUGAGGCCUGCCCAAAUAGAAUGAAAAGAGGCAAGAGCUAUCACAUAAGUUCAUUCAGCUCCUUUGCACUUUUAUUUAUUUAUUUGUGUACCUUUAAAAACAAAGAAUUAGGGAUCAUAAAAUUCUAAAUUGAUACAUCCAACAUUAUUUACUUAAAUUUUAAAAAUAUUUUUGUAAUUUUUUUCCCUCCUCUAUUUUCUUCCUAGAGCCCACUCCCUCUAGGCUAAGAUAAUUGAACAAGAUGCUAAUAAUAUUACCC
This 2438-nucleotide long non-coding RNA is filed under the name Macaca mulatta (Rhesus monkey). RNAcentral's name for it is "lncRNA (ENSMMUG00000060424.1)". Lineage: Eukaryota; Metazoa; Chordata; Mammalia; Primates; Cercopithecidae. The record is from RNAcentral.